GUGUCGUUGGCAACAUGAUGGAGAUCAAUGUCAGGCCUGAUUCUGCCUUCUUGUGGAUUGUGAAUGUCUUGUCCCCCUGCUGACCGUGUCGGGAACCCACCAUGGACUGGGACAGCGGGGACGCCUUAUAUUGGCGUAUAUUGCAUUGUCUUCGGCAACACCGCUCGGGACGGGACGCGGGACCUCUGAAAUUUCUAACGACAACUACAACAUCGACGGCACAGCCACGGCCGAUGUAGAUUUCAUCAACAAAUAAAAUGUAGAAACGAACAAAAUCCUAAUUUUUUUGAGCGGUCGAUCUCCUGAAAUCGCCAUCAUGUUUCGUUUUGUAAUUAGCCGGCAAACGACCCGAUGCAUUUCUCGGUUGAUGAGAAAAUGCCCCGAGGUCAAUUCAAAUACUCUCGCGGUGAUGCCACACUAUUUUAGCUCAGUAUCUGCUCAAAAUCGGCACAAACUCCCAGGCACUUUUCAUGAGGUUCAAUUUCAAGGACAACAAGUGCGAACAUAUUCUAGCAGCUACACUGAUCUUUCAUACGAACAGUUCCUCUCGCUGCUGGAGAGCAAAGAUAUUCAGUUAUUCGAUGUGCGGGAGCCUGAGGAGUGUCGGACGACUGGCGUCAUACCAUCUGCUGUCAAUAUCCCGUUGGGCGAGGUGAAAAAGGCAUUCUCAAUGAGCGAAAGCGAGUUCGUACAAAAAUAUAGGGUCAAUAUGCCAUCAAAAAUGGAUCGCAAUGUUGUCUUUUAUGGGCUUGGCCCAAUUAAGAGCACAGCUGCAUUAGAGCUUGUUCACAAAGUGGGAUAUAAAAAUGGGUACCGUACCAGAGGCGUUUCAAAAACCGCCCGAGGAAUUUAGAGAAUCGUAUGGAGUGGAAAAGCCAGGAAAAGAUGAUGCCAAUAUUGUCUUCAGUUGUUUAGGUGGGGUGCGGAGUCGGAGAGCCCUCAAUGCAGUUACAGAGCUUGGAUUUAAAAAUGCACGUCAUUACAUUGGAGGUUGGGAGGAAUGGCAGAUGAGGCAGAAAUCACAACACUAGGCAUUUCAGCAGCGUUCCACCAGGGGGCAGUAGCAUCAUUAUUAUCAAUGGCCUUUUAGGCUCUAAUGAAUUUAAUGGGUAAACCAGAUGGGUUCAGUUAUUGUUAGGGGACAAAAAUUAUGCUCAUGUUGAAAUGCAACUAAAGCAUGCAUUGCCGUUUUGCUCAUAGCUUUAGUUCUUUGAUCAAGUUCUUCCGUGUUAAGUGGGUGGUUGUUUGUGCUUUAAAUCACUUGCGAGACUGGUGCUCGGGAGGAUUGAUUAUAUCAUCUGACAUUAUUGCAGGGAACACUGUGUUGUAUGUGUUUUAGACAAUCCUCAGCAGAUUGUGCACUUUUCAUAUGCCUGUUUGCCUGUUAUGUGAUUCUCACAUUCAAAGUGACAUGGUCAUAGCUCUUAUCAUCAUACAGCCUUGAGCGUAAACUAUGUAAAGCAGUUUUUGCGGUGUUACCCUUUAAGAGUUUAAUGAACAAUAACUUGGCGAUCGUGUUAGCCAUGAAGAAUGUUGACCUGUUCCCUUUACUUGUCAAGUUGUGCUUAUCCAGUUCUUGUUGAAAAGAAUCCCCGUUGAUUCCUCAUCAGUUGUUAUAAAUCUGUACCCGGCUUGAAAUGGUCUUCUCCAAAUUAUUGUCAUUAGUGAUGUUAAUGAAAUUAACAUGGUCACCAUGUAAUAUAUUUAGGUAAAUAAUGUAGAAGUAAUCAUUUCAAUAAGACAGCUUCCUGAGAA
RNA transcript from Lineus longissimus, 1755 nucleotides. It is a transcript of the gene named thiosulfate sulfurtransferase/rhodanese-like domain-containing protein 3, with no coding region annotated. Lineage: Eukaryota; Metazoa; Nemertea; Pilidiophora; Heteronemertea; Lineidae. The transcript has 5 exons. The record is from RefSeq and is a predicted model, not a curated record.